RNAcentral lists this ribosomal RNA (253 nucleotides) under uncultured bacterium. Its description in RNAcentral is "partial 16S ribosomal RNA". It matches the Rfam family "Bacterial small subunit ribosomal RNA", at positions 524 to 776 of the family's 1533-position model. The record is from RNAcentral.
UACGGAGGGGGCUAGCGUUGUUCGGAAUUACUGGGCGUAAAGCGCACGUAGGCGGGACGGAAAGUCAGGGGUGAAAACCCGGGGCUCAACCCCGGAACUGCCUUUGAAACUUCCGUUCUUGAGGUCAAGAGAGGUGGGUGGAAUUCCGAGUGUAGAGGUGAAAUUCGUAGAUAUUCGGAGGAACACCGGUGGCGAAGGCGGCCCACUGGCACGAUACUGACGCUGAGUUGCGAAAGCGCGGGGAGCAAACAGG